UGAACGCUGGCGGCGUGCCUAAUACAUGCAAGUCGAGCGAACGGACGAGAAGCUUGCUUCUCUGAUGUUAGCGGCGGACGGGUGAGUAACACGUGGAUAACCUACCUAUAAGACUGGGAUAACUUCGGGAAACCGGAGCUAAUACCGGAUAAUAUUUUGAACCGCAUGGUUCAAAAGUGAAAGACGGUCUUGCUGUCACUUAUAGAUGGAUCCGCGCUGCAUUAGCUAGUUGGUAAGGUAACGGCUUACCAAGGCAACGAUGCAUAGCCGACCUGAGAGGGUGAUCGGCCACACUGGAACUGAGACACGGUCCAGACUCCUACGGGAGGCAGCAGUAGGGAAUCUUCCGCAAUGGGCGAAAGCCUGACGGAGCAACGCCGCGUGAGUGAUGAAGGUCUUCGGAUCGUAAAACUCUGUUAUUAGGGAAGAACAUAUGUGUAAGUAACUGUGCACAUCUUGACGGUACCUAAUCAGAAAGCCACGGCUAACUACGUGCCAGCAGCCGCGGUAAUACGUAGGUGGCAAGCGUUAUCCGGAAUUAUUGGGCGUAAAGCGCGCGUAGGCGGUUUUUUAAGUCUGAUGUGAAAGCCCACGGCUCAACCGUGGAGGGUCAUUGGAAACUGGAAAACUUGAGUGCAGAAGAGGAAAGUGGAAUUCCAUGUGUAGCGGUGAAAUGCGCAGAGAUAUGGAGGAACACCAGUGGCGAAGGCGACUUUCUGGUCUGUAACUGACGCUGAUGUGCGAAAGCGUGGGGAUCAAACAGGAUUAGAUACCCUGGUAGUCCACGCCGUAAACGAUGAGUGCUAAGUGUUAGGGGGUUUCCGCCCCUUAGUGCUGCAGCUAACGCAUUAAGCACUCCGCCUGGGGAGUACGACCGCAAGGUUGAAACUCAAAGGAAUUGACGGGGACCCGCACAAGCGGUGGAGCAUGUGGUUUAAUUCGAAGCAACGCGAAGAACCUUACCAAAUCUUGACAUCCUUUGACAACUCUAGAGAUAGAGCCUUCCCCUUCGGGGGACAAAGUGACAGGUGGUGCAUGGUUGUCGUCAGCUCGUGUCGUGAGAUGUUGGGUUAAGUCCCGCAACGAGCGCAACCCUUAAGCUUAGUUGCCAUCAUUAAGUUGGGCACUCUAAGUUGACUGCCGGUGACUAACCGGAGGAAGGUGGGGAUGACGUCAAAUCAUCAUGCCCCUUAUGAUUUGGGCUACACACGUGCUACAAUGGACAAUACAAAGGGCAGCGAAACCGCGAGGUCAAGCAAAUCCCAUAAAGUUGUUCUCAGUUCGGAUUGUAGUCUGCAACUCGACUACAUGAAGCUGGAAUCGCUAGUAAUCGUAGAUCAGCAUGCUACGGUGAAUACGUUCCCGGGUCU
Molecule: ribosomal RNA, 1370 nt
Filed under: uncultured bacterium
Lineage: Bacteria
Description: 16S ribosomal RNA
Rfam family: Bacterial small subunit ribosomal RNA
Source: RNAcentral